This 422-nucleotide ribosomal RNA is filed under the name uncultured bacterium. RNAcentral describes it as "bacterial SSU rRNA". It matches the Rfam family "Bacterial small subunit ribosomal RNA", at positions 355 to 774 of the family's 1533-position model. The record is from RNAcentral.
UGAGGAAUAUUGGUCAAUGGGCGCAAGCCUGAACCAGCCAUGCCGCGUGCAGGAUGAAGCAUCUAUGGUGUGUAAACUGCUUUUGUACGGGAAGAAACCACCCCUCGUGAGGGGUAUUGACGGUACCGUAAGAAUAAGGAUCGGCUAACUCCGUGCCAGCAGCCGCGGUAAUACGGAGGAUCCAAGCGUUAUCCGGAAUCAUUGGGUUUAAAGGGUCCGUAGGCGGUUUAGUAAGUCAGUGGUGAAAGCCCAUCGCUCAACGAUGGAACGGCCAUUGAUACUGCUAGACUUGAAUUAUUAGGAAGUAACUAGAAUAUGUAGUGUAGCGGUGAAAUGCUUAGAUAUUACAUGGAAUACCAAUUGCGAAGGCAGGUUACUACUUGUGGAUUGACGCUGAUGGACGAAAGCGUGGGGAGCGAACA